Long non-coding RNA from Coregonus clupeaformis (lake whitefish), 769 nucleotides. RefSeq lists it as uncharacterized. The record is from RefSeq and is a predicted model, not a curated record. NCBI's taxonomy places the organism in Eukaryota, Metazoa, Chordata, Actinopteri, Salmoniformes, Salmonidae. The transcript has 3 exons.
GGUAAUAAACACUUGAAACUUCUCUUGCGAUUGGCGUCACGAAAAGGAUUCACCCUUGAGAGACAGACUUGGUGGGAAGGAGAAUCGGUAGUGGAGGUGGCCGGCCUAAAAUAAAAAAGAUUUUCAGACAGCCCAUGAAGAGGAUCUUGACAUCCUCUUGAGACACCUAACAAAAGUUGGUCUGAAGGCGUCCCGUGAAAAGGCACAAAUUGCGCUCCCAGAGUAUUUUCUAUUUUCUCUAUCUAUCAAGUAUGUUUCUAUUACACUCUCAGGUCUGGAGAAAACCAAGGAAGAAGAAAGUCUACAGCAGGCAGUUGAAAUGAUUGUUUAGUGAUAUUAAACAAUAAAAAGUGUUUAUGGUUUAAUAGGGGGGACUGAUGGAUUCUGUUAAAAUGUAACAUGUUUCAAGUUAAACUGUAGUUUGUUUGUAUCCUGUUUAGUGAAUGAUUACUGUGAGUAUUAAUGGAGUUUAGGCCAUGAAACUGUGUGUAUGCUAAUUUGGAAAGGUUGACCUAAUCAGAUAAGAGGAAAUUGCCUAGGAUCAGGGAGCAGGGUCAGGCCCAGGACAAUGAAGAUAGACGGGGUGUGAUUCUGACAUCUAGCUAACCAAAGAGAGGACCAUGGACAUUCCACAGGGGAGAGAAGGGAAACUCAUUGGGGUCAUAAAAUGUAUAGCUGGGGAGGUGACACCUACAAGAGGGUGGUGACCAAAAGGAGGGAGGAGUAUAAGAUGUGUUGUGAACUUUCUAAAUGUAUGCACUCAGUGACG